RNAcentral lists this transfer RNA (96 nucleotides) under Sporormia fimetaria CBS 119925. It matches the Rfam family "tRNA". From Rfam's summary of the family: Transfer RNA (tRNA) molecules are approximately 80 nucleotides in length. Their secondary structure includes four short double-helical elements and three loops (D, anti-codon, and T loops). Lineage: Eukaryota; Fungi; Ascomycota; Dothideomycetes; Pleosporales; Sporormiaceae. The record is from Rfam by way of RNAcentral.
UCCGAUAUGGUCUAGUGGCUAGGAUUUGCCGCUCUCAUCCAGCUUCACAGCUCGGAAAGCGCCGGCAAGGCCCGGGUUCAAUUCCCGGUGUCGGAA